GUAGCACUGCUUCUAACAGUCUUCGGACAA
This 30-nucleotide ribosomal RNA is filed under the name Pholiota terrestris. RNAcentral's name for it is "partial 28S ribosomal RNA". The record is from RNAcentral. Lineage: Eukaryota; Fungi; Basidiomycota; Agaricomycetes; Agaricales; Strophariaceae.